GGGGGGAUUGGGGAUUGGGUCGGCAACGCGCUUGCGAUGCUUCUGGUGUUGCAGGUGUCUAUAGGCAACGGUAAUCGCUUACCAUCAGGUGAGCCGUACGCUUGUUUGCCGACCUAGUAACCGGUGGUAGUGGAACUGUGUUAUCCCUUAGUCACCUCUUACGACAGCCACGGGAAGAGAAGGGGUGGCUAUGUUCUUUAAUGCCGU
Molecule: unclassified non-coding RNA, 207 nt
Filed under: Melitaea cinxia (Glanville fritillary)
Lineage: Eukaryota; Metazoa; Arthropoda; Insecta; Lepidoptera; Nymphalidae
Description: misc RNA ENSMCXG00005016899.1
Source: RNAcentral